Molecule: long non-coding RNA, 1103 nt
Organism: Macrobrachium nipponense
Lineage: Eukaryota; Metazoa; Arthropoda; Malacostraca; Decapoda; Palaemonidae
Exons: 2
Source: RefSeq, a predicted model, not a curated record
UCCUCCUGACAAAAUUGCCAGUGUCUCAUUUCACUUCACCAGCACGAUGGCGGAAGCAGUCCCAGGCACCUCCACCUCCUCCGGGCCCAUUACUAACUCGACUCUGCCCCGUACAUAACUGUUUCGUUUGUUCUGCUUCUCCUUAUUUGUCAGCAAUUUUUUUAGCCAUAGAGUUGCGAGGACAGAGCUCGGUUUAAGUGACGUAGCCAUUAAUGAUUGGUCCAGCUACUCCAGGGAAGUAAGUUUUUAUUUUUUAAGUCAAAUUUUUUUAAGUAGGUUUUUUUUUGUAGACAGUUUUGUUAAACUUUGUCACUAACCCUAAUUUCCAUUUCAGGUCAUAGCACAUUGGUGUAUCCGGCAGAAGAAACUCGGGUGGUCCCGGUAUAACUGUUGAGAUCGACGAAGCAAAGUUCGGCAAGAGAAAGUAUAAUGUAGGCCGGGUUGUCGAGGGUCAGUGGGUUUUUGGUGGAGUCUGUAGGCAGAGAAGAGUUUUUUGUAGUGCCAGUAAAAGACAGGAGUGCCGCAACUUAGCUUACUGUGAUUAAGGACUACAUUGUAAAGGGGACCACUUAUUUCUGACUGCUGGAAGGCUUAUGAUUGCCUGGCAGACGAAGGCUACGCUCACUUGACAGUCAACCACACUAACUUUGUGGACCCAGUAACCGGUGCCCAUACAAAUACAAUUGAAAGGCGGUAGAGGGAACUUCGUGAGGCAACGCCUUGGUAUGGCCAUAAAGUAUAACUUUGUCGGGUGGUGUACUUUAAAAUCAACUUCAUGACCCAAAGACGAGGCUCCACGCCUUAGUGGAAGUGGCUGCUGAACUCUAUCCUCCACCCCUUCAAGAUUGUUGUAGACUUAACCCACAGAACAGUAGACUUCACGCCACCAGAUAAUUUGGUACCAGGAAAAUCUUCAAUUCUGUAGUGGGUUUUCCAGUUUCAUUGUCUUGAAUUGAAUACAGUGUUUCCAAGACUGCCUGGUAUAUUUAGGUGAAGUCCGUACAGAUACCGCAAAGCUGUAAUCUUCCUGCAAUGAGCUGGAAAAUUACUUUGUGUUGUUUUUUUUGUAACAAUUUUUAAAAUACAAAUACUUCUGCAGUUUU